Molecule: ribosomal RNA, 1250 nt
Filed under: Collinsella sp. AF19-7AC
Lineage: Bacteria; Bacillati; Actinomycetota; Coriobacteriia; Coriobacteriales; Coriobacteriaceae
Description: partial 23S ribosomal RNA
Rfam family: Bacterial large subunit ribosomal RNA
Source: RNAcentral
GCAAGAUACCACGGGCGCACGGCGGAUGCCUUGGCACAGGGAGCCGAUGAAGGACGCGGCAAGCUGCGAUAAUCCCCGGCGAGGAGCACACAUCCUUCGACCCGGGGGUCUCCGAAUGGGCGAACCCAUCCACAGAGGUGUGGAUAUCCCCACCCCGAACACAUAGGGGCGGGGAGGACAACCCGGGGAACUGAAACAUCUAAGUACCCGGAGGAGAGGAAAUCAAUCUCGAGACUCCCCGAGUAGCGGCGAGCGAAAGGGGACCGAUGGCCAAACCGUCGAGCGGGCAUACCCGGCAGGGGUUCCGCCGACGGGGUUGCAGGGCCGCGCAUCCGGGGGCUGCCGCCCCCGGGCGCAGGUCCGGCUGGGGAGCGGAACGGCAUGGGAGGGCCGGCCGCAGCGGGUGACAGCCCCGUACGCGAACCCAGACCGGACGGCGCGACGCGGUCCCUGAGUAGGGCCGGGCACGUGAAACCCGGUCCGAACCUGGGUGGACCACCAUCCAAGCCUGAGUACUACCCUGUGACCGAUAGCGCACCAGUACCGUGAGGGAAAGGUGAAAAGCACCCCGGGAGGGGAGUGAAACAGUACCUGAAACCGUGCGCCCACGAGCAGUCGGAGCACCUAUACGGUGUGACGGCGUGCCUUUUGUAGAAUGAGCCAGCGAGUCGCUGGCGCGGGGCGAGGUUAACCGAAAGGGAGCCGGAGCGAAAGCGAGCCUUAACAGGGCGACUUGAGUCCCGCGCCGCGGACGCGAAGCCGGGUGAGCUAUCCGUGGGCAGGCUGAAGCGGGGGUAAGACCCCGUGGAGGGCCGAACGCACGUCGGUUGAAAACGGCGGCGAUGACCUGCGGAUAGGGGUGAAAGGCCAAUCAAACCCGGAGAUAUCUCGUUCUCCCCGAAAUAGCUUUAGGGCUAGCGUCGCGCGUUCACCGCCGGAGGUAGAGCACCGGAUGGACGAGGGGGCUUCGCCGCCUACCGAAUCCAACCGAACUCCGAAUGCCGGCGGCCCAGAGCGCGGCAGUCAGAGCAUGUGGGCUAAGCUGUGUGCUCGAGAGGGAAACAGCCCGGACCGCCCGCUAAGGUCCCCAAGUUCCAGCCGAGUGGCAAAGGAUGUGCGUCCGCCCAGACAACCAGGAUGUUGGCUUAGAAGCAGCCAUGCAUUCAAAGAGUGCGUAACAGCUCACUGGUCGAGUGGACAUGCGCCGACAAUACACGGGGCUAAGCUGGACACCGAAGCGGCGGGAUUUU